This 484-nucleotide ribosomal RNA is filed under the name uncultured bacterium. Its description in RNAcentral is "partial 16S ribosomal RNA". It matches the Rfam family "Bacterial small subunit ribosomal RNA", at positions 30 to 507 of the family's 1533-position model. The record is from RNAcentral.
AUUGAACGCUGGCGGCAGGCCUAACACAUGCAAGUCGAGCGGAUGAAGGGAGCUUGCUCCUGGAUUCAGCGGCGGACGGGUGAGUAAUGCCUAGGAAUCUGCCUGGUAUUGGGGGAUAACGUCCGGAAACGGGCGCUAAUACCGCAUACGUCCUGAGGUAGAAAGUGGGGGAUCUUCGGACCUCACGCUAUCAGAUGAGCCUAGGUCGGAUUAGCUAGUUGGUGGGGUAAAGGCCUACCAAGGCGACGAUCCGUAACUGGUCUGAGAGGAUGAUCAGUCACACUGGAACUGAGACACGGUCCAGACUCCUACGGGAGGCAGCAGUGGGGAAUAUUGGACAAUGGGCGAAAGCCUGACCCAGCAAUGCCGCGUGUGUGAAGAAGGUCUUCGGAUUGUAAAGCACUUUAAGUUGGGAGGAAGGGCAGUAAGUUAAUACCUUGCUGUUUUGACGUUACCAACAGAAUAAGCACCGGCUAACUUCGUG